CCUACGUCGUGACCACCACUGUCGCCUAUUGGGCCGCUGUGUGGGCUUCCAUAAUUACCGGCCCUUUCUGUGCCUCCUGCUUCACGCUGCUGGUGUCCUGCUCCACAUCUCAGUGCUGCUGAGCCCUGCCCUGUCAGCCUUGCUGCAGGCCCACUCAGCCCUCUACACAGUGGCUCUCCUGCUGUUGCCCUGGCUCAUGCUACUCACAGGUGGGGAGCUUUCUGAACUUUCUGGGAGCCAGAGACCCUUGCACUGGGCUGGGUAGCAAGGCCCCUUCCUGUGGGAGUGUGCUGUCCAGCUGGUUCUCUUGGCCAAUGCUUUGGGGACCCAGGCAAGGCCAUUUAAGGAGAGAGGGAAGCCUGGUCCCUAGCUGAGUAUGAAGUACUGUACUUUAU
RNAcentral lists this long non-coding RNA (395 nucleotides) under Rattus norvegicus (Norway rat). RNAcentral describes it as "long non-coding RNA NONRATT001423". Lineage: Eukaryota; Metazoa; Chordata; Mammalia; Rodentia; Muridae. The record is from RNAcentral.